GACGAACGCUGGCGGCGUACUUAACACAUGCAAGUCGAACGGAAAGGCCCUGCUUUUGUGGGGUGCUCGAGUGGCGAACGGGUGAGUAACACGUGAGUAACCUGCCCUUGACUUUGGGAUAACUUCAGGAAACUGGGGCUAAUACCGGAUAGGAGCUCCUGCUGCAUGGUGGGGGUUGGAAAGUUUCGGCGGUUGGGGAUGGACUCGCGGCUUAUCAGCUUGUUGGUGGGGUAGUGGCUUACCAAGGCUUUGACGGGUAGCCGGCCUGAGAGGGUGACCGGCCACAUUGGGACUGAGAUACGGCCCAGACUCCUACGGGAGGCAGCAGUGGGGAAUAUUACACAAUGGGCGGAAGCCUGAUGCAGCAACGCCGCGUGCGGGAUGACGGCCUUCGGGUUGUAAACCGCUUUCGCCUGUGACGAAGCGUGAGUGACGGUAAUGGGUAAAGAAGCACCGGCUAACUACGUG
This 468-nucleotide ribosomal RNA is filed under the name uncultured bacterium. RNAcentral's name for it is "partial 16S ribosomal RNA". It matches the Rfam family "Bacterial small subunit ribosomal RNA", at positions 28 to 507 of the family's 1533-position model. The record is from RNAcentral.